Molecule: long non-coding RNA, 682 nt
Organism: Pezoporus occidentalis (night parrot)
Lineage: Eukaryota; Metazoa; Chordata; Aves; Psittaciformes; Psittacidae
Exons: 2
Source: RefSeq, a predicted model, not a curated record
AACAGACAAAGUGCUGGAACAAACUGAUAAAUUAAAUAGCAGCAAGUUACCCAGACCUGAUGGUAUUAAUCCAGAAGUUGUGAAGGGCCUGAAGAAUGAUGUGCUUGAGCUGCUCACAACAGAAAAGUUAUUCAAGACAAGCCUAAGGAAAUAUGGAAUGUUUCACCAAGCCAAGUGGAAAAUACUGUGCUAUGACAAAUUGAUAUGAAAAUGUGUAUGAAAAAGUAAUGUAGGUAGGGAAAAAAACAUAUGCCAUUGACUAGCACUGUGGUUAAAUACACUGAUUACCACUUUUGAGACACCCUGCAUUACUCUUCUUCCAUGCUGAAAACUGGCUUCCUACUCUUUGCUCAUCAGUUUCUAAUUUCUGCUGAAAUAUGAACCUGCAUCCUAUGACAACUGUUACUCUUUGAUAACUUUCUUAAAGUUAUUCUGCAGAAAGUCCUGAGCUCUGGUACAUUUGUAUUCUGUGUGGACUAACAAGUAAUCCAUGUGGUGCAGUGGCUGACAAAUGCCAGUGAUGGUAAUUAAUACCAUAAUCAGCUGUUGAUGCUACUAUGAUGAGCCUCUGCUCUUGUGACUGAGCAUGGUGGCUGGGGUUGGUACAGGAUUAACAUGUGUCCUGGUACUGCUUCUCCACAGAAUCAUCCUUAGUGCUGCUGCUGUUGGGUUUGGUAGAGAA